UACGGGGGGGGCAAGCGUUGUUCGGAAUUACUGGGCGUAAAGGGCUCGUAGGCGGCCAACUAAGUCAGACGUGAAAUCCCUCGGCUUAACCGGGGAACUGCGUCUGAUACUGGUUGGCUUGAAUCCGGGAGAGGGAUGUGGAAUUCCAGGUGUAGCGGUGAAAUGCGUAGAUAUCUGGAGGAAUACCGGUGGCGAAGGCGGCAUCCUGGACCGACAUUGACGCUGAGGAGCGAAAGCGUGGGGAGCGAUCCGG
RNAcentral lists this ribosomal RNA (253 nucleotides) under uncultured bacterium. RNAcentral's name for it is "partial 16S ribosomal RNA". It matches the Rfam family "Bacterial small subunit ribosomal RNA", at positions 524 to 776 of the family's 1533-position model. The record is from RNAcentral.